RNAcentral lists this ribosomal RNA (483 nucleotides) under uncultured bacterium. RNAcentral describes it as "bacterial SSU rRNA". It matches the Rfam family "Bacterial small subunit ribosomal RNA", at positions 21 to 507 of the family's 1533-position model. The record is from RNAcentral.
GGCUCAGGAUGAACGCUAGCGGGAGGCCUAACACAUGCAAGCCGAGCGGUAUUGUUUCUUCGGAAAUGAGAGAGCGGCGUACGGGUGCGGAACACGUGUGCAACUGCCUUUAUCUGGGGAUAGCCUUUCGAAAGGAAGAUUAAUACUCCAUAAUAUAUUGAACGGCAUCGUUUAAUAUUGAAAGCUCCGGCGGAUAGAGAUGGGCACGCGCAAGAUUAGCUAGUUGGUGAGGUAACGGCUCACCAAGGCAAUGAUCUUUAGGGGCCUGAGAGGGUGAUCCCCCACACUGGUACUGAGACACGGACCAGACUCCUACGGGAGGCAGCAGUGAGGAAUAUUGGUCAAUGGGUGCAAGCCUGAACCAGCCAUCCCGCGUGAAGGACGACUGCCCUAUGGGUUGUAAACUUCUUUUGUAUAGGGAUAAACCUACCCUCGUGAGGGUAGCUGAAGGUACUAUACGAAUAAGCACCGGCUAACUCCGUG